Long non-coding RNA from Artibeus jamaicensis (Jamaican fruit-eating bat), 1144 nucleotides. RefSeq lists it as uncharacterized. Lineage: Eukaryota; Metazoa; Chordata; Mammalia; Chiroptera; Phyllostomidae. The record is from RefSeq and is a predicted model, not a curated record. The transcript is spliced from 3 exons.
AGUGCACUCUGGUUAAGAUGUAAGCUGGGUGAAGGGUAUGCAGGACUCUGUGCUAUUUUUUGCAAUUUCCCAUGUGUCUAGUUUUUUUUUUUUUAAUGCCAUAAAUAUGUUUGGAAGGCAAACGACAAGCCAGGAAAAUACCUGCAAUGGAUAUGAUAAGAUUUUAUGUCCAUCGCAUACCGGUCCUUGCUAAUAGGGGAGAGAGGCGCGCUUGCACCAGGAAAAGAGUCAGGCGCACACACAGGGAACCUCACACAGCCUCGGGGACCUUUGGCUGACGGAACCCCCAGCAGUGGUGAAGGGAACAAGUGGCCAUGGAUCAGCAGGAAGAAACACACAUUUCUAACCUGCCACCUCUGAGAUAUCGAGACCUGCUAAGUGGGUUAAGUGAAAGACGUCGUGCUUCUGAGAGGAUUGUAAGCAUUCAUCGGCUGAGCUUCCUAAACAGUUUGAAAUCGGCAACAUAGUCCAAUUUGCACCCUAUAUGACAACAGCAAUGAAAAAAUGUCUUCAUGUGAGGGUAAGAAAAGAAAAAGAGGUGGAGCUUCUCAGAGGAUGGAAGGGGUGAUCACACUCAGCAAGACUGUUCUGCGCCAGAAACUCCGGUGCCACACAUACCGUCUACACAGGCACAGUCGUCAGUCUCCCCAGGUCUCUGCUGUGGGGACAAACAUAAAAAGGGGGUUUCCAGAUCUCCGAACCACGGCGUCAAGUCUCUGGACAAGCACAGCUGCAAAAGGAAGACAAGGUGGCCCACAGAGCACUUGGCCAGAAGGAUGCGGUGCCUCGGGUAUUGCUGCCCUGGCAAAGGGUGGCAGACGGAAUAGGCCACCUGCCACACCCUCUGCUGGGCCCUCAAGCGACACAUCAGGACAGUAGGCUCUGUCCUCCCUGGGCCAUUCUGAUGAGGAGUGGGGCAUCUUCCAGCCAGGGCACGGCGCCCCUCCCCCUUUUGUGCUGAGGUGCCCGGGACUGACUGCAAAGACCAUCGUGCCUUUGGCUCCAUCACCACCUGGACUCUGCACUCAGAAAGGCCCCAUCCCCACCCCCAGGGCUUCGAAGGAACUGUGGGCGGGGGCAACACUUCCAUCUGGAAUCCUUUAAUGAGACUACUCCUUACACGCGUAAUUAUAAAAGAAUAAGA